CGCCGGCGUCGGCGGGCGUAUUUCGCCUCACAGUAGGUCGCCGCGACCCGUUGCUUUUGGGGACGUCGAAGGCCCGGACGGAUUGGUACCCUACCGGCUGGGGAUGCGGCUUCGGCUUCUCCUCUUGUCCGGUGGGCGAAACCGCCGGUGUCCUGGCUGCCCUGCGACGGUCGUAGAGACGAGCCCUCCCCUUCGGGGGGGCGGCUCUCGCGGCGUGCAAAAGGUCGGUGAUCCACCCGACCCGUCUUGAAACACGGACCAAGGAGUCUAACAUGUGUGCGAGUCAGUGGGCGCACUAAACCCAGAGGCGUAAUGAAAGUGACACGGGUUCGGCUGUCGCCUCGUGUGGCAGCCGGACUCAGGGCCGAUCCCUCACCGGUUGCCCUCGCUUCUCUCCCGCGUCUCGGUAAGCCGGGUGAGCUAUUUUCCCCGGCCGCUGCUGCGGGGCUCGGGGGGAGGCGGGGUUGCGAUGGUGUCCGUAAAAAAGAGCCUGCUGUUGCAGGGGGGCGCAGGCCCGGGACUUGCCAGGACGCCGCGAGACUGUCACUUUGCUGUGAGGCUCUCGGGCCGAUCAGCGGGUCAUGCGUGCAGUCGGCAAGUACCAUGAGCAGACAUGUUGGGACCCGAAAGAUGGUGAACUAUGCCUGGCCAGGAUGAAGCCAGAGGAAACUCUGGUGGAGGUCCGU
This 686-nucleotide ribosomal RNA is filed under the name Creaserinus brevistylus. RNAcentral's name for it is "partial 28S large subunit ribosomal RNA". The stretch from base 258 to 686 matches the Rfam family "Eukaryotic large subunit ribosomal RNA", at positions 665 to 878 of the family's 3401-position model. The record is from RNAcentral. Lineage: Eukaryota; Metazoa; Arthropoda; Malacostraca; Decapoda; Cambaridae.